This 590-nucleotide long non-coding RNA is filed under the name Vulpes vulpes (red fox). RNAcentral's name for it is "lncRNA (ENSVVUG00000029884.1)". Lineage: Eukaryota; Metazoa; Chordata; Mammalia; Carnivora; Canidae. The record is from RNAcentral.
UGAUCACACAGGCAGCUUCUCAGAGGCUUUUCUGGUUAUUCAUUAAUGCACCGUUUAAACUCUGAGAAUUCUAGGCCAUAAGGGUCCCCAUCCCUCUGACCCCAAUGGAGCUGCUGCUAGUGGAGCCACCUUGACUCAUUUACAUAGAGCUUGAGGAUUCCCUCUGGGAAUACAGACAGGUGCGCGGACACCCCCUGCCCGGCCACCUGUGUAACCCCUGCAAUAUCUUCAAGAAUUCCUCAAGGAUCAUCUCUCCCAGGAUGCUUAUCCCAGGUACAGUUCAGCGGCGUUAAAUUCAUUUACAUCGGUGUGCAACAAUCACCACCUCCUUCUCCAGAGUGGAUGGUGUUUCGAAAUGGCCUGGCCCCUUGAAACAGUCAUGCGGCUGAAUUAGGGGAAACUGUAUUUGUCAGCUCAGAGUGCCACGACGCAACACCACAGCGUGGGCGGAUUAAACAGCAGAAGCCCAUUUCUCACACUUCUGGAGCCCGAGAAGUACAAGAUCAAGGUAGGUUUCAUUCUGAGAAUUUCAUUGGCCUGUAGGUACCUGCCGGCUUGCGGUGUAAUCAUGUGACCUCUUUGUGGGAAAG